UCCCAGGUGGCUCAGUGGUAAAGAAUCUGCCUGCAAUGCAGUAGAUGCAGGUUCGAUUCCUAGCUUGGGAA
This 71-nucleotide transfer RNA is filed under the name Ovis aries (sheep). It matches the Rfam family "tRNA". Rfam says of the family: Transfer RNA (tRNA) molecules are approximately 80 nucleotides in length. Their secondary structure includes four short double-helical elements and three loops (D, anti-codon, and T loops). Further hydrogen bonds mediate the characteristic L-shaped molecular structure. tRNAs have two regions of fundamental functional importance: the anti-codon, which is responsible for specific mRNA codon recognition, and the 3' end, to which the tRNAs corresponding amino acid is attached (by aminoacyl-tRNA synthetases). tRNAs cope with the degeneracy of the genetic code in two manners: having more than one tRNA (with a specific anti-codon) for a particular amino acid; and 'wobble' base-pairing, i.e. permitting non-standard base-pairing at the 3rd anti-codon position. Lineage: Eukaryota; Metazoa; Chordata; Mammalia; Artiodactyla; Bovidae. The record is from Rfam by way of RNAcentral.